GCGCGCGUGGCGUAAUUGGUAGCCGCGCCAGACUUAGGAUCUGGUGCCGUGAGGCGUGGGGGUUCGAGUCCCUUCGCGCGCA
This 82-nucleotide transfer RNA is filed under the name Bacteroides sp. RNAcentral's name for it is "tRNA-Leu". It matches the Rfam family "tRNA". From Rfam's summary of the family: Transfer RNA (tRNA) molecules are approximately 80 nucleotides in length. Their secondary structure includes four short double-helical elements and three loops (D, anti-codon, and T loops). Lineage: Bacteria; Pseudomonadati; Bacteroidota; Bacteroidia; Bacteroidales; Bacteroidaceae. RNAcentral also lists the same sequence under 1 other name. The record is from RNAcentral.